RNAcentral lists this ribosomal RNA (253 nucleotides) under uncultured bacterium. RNAcentral's name for it is "partial 16S ribosomal RNA". It matches the Rfam family "Bacterial small subunit ribosomal RNA", at positions 524 to 776 of the family's 1533-position model. The record is from RNAcentral.
UACGUAGGGGGCUAGCGUUGUCCGGAAUCAUUGGGCGUAAAGAGCGUGUAGGCGGCUUGGUAAGUCCGCUGUGAAAGUCCAGGGCUCAACCCUGGAAAGCCAGUGGAAACUGUCAAGCUAGAGUCCGGAAGAGGCGAGUGGAACUCCUGGUGUAGCGGUGAAAUGCGCAGAUAUCAGGAGGAACACCAAUGGCGAAGGCAGCUCGCUGGGACGGUACUGACACUGAGACGCGAAAGCGUGGGGAGCAAACAGG